This is a long non-coding RNA of Raphanus sativus (radish), 1387 nucleotides long. RefSeq lists it as uncharacterized. The record is from RefSeq and is a predicted model, not a curated record. NCBI's taxonomy places the organism in Eukaryota, Viridiplantae, Streptophyta, Magnoliopsida, Brassicales, Brassicaceae. The transcript is spliced from 4 exons.
CAGUAAUGAAGCAAGACCCUCUCCUUGUAUUGACACAUCAGAUUUUUAGAUUCAUAUUAGAGUGACAUGUCAAUAAAUGAAAAAACUUUUUAAACCACUCAGAACAUUUUGUUUCUCCACCUCAGAAAUCUUUCUACGCUCUCUUCUUCGACAUUGUGCUCUCGUGCAAUCAGAAACUUCAUUCAAUCUCCCCUUUUUCAAUUUGACCUUCUUCGAUCUAUCGGUUCCAUAACCUUCGCUUUGAUUUAUCAAGGCCGACGACGAUCGGUUGAUUUCAUAGCGAAAUCAACACAACUCCUCCUCUCGCAUCUAUACUCAGAACACAAGAGCAACGUUCACAACUCGAUCUAUACUCACAACUCCUCCUCUUUCUUCCUCUCGCAUCUAUGGUUCUUCUCGAUAGAGGCAAUCUAAAAGAGAAAGUCUCAACCUUUUUUUAUUCUGUUUUGCUUUGCCUCUGAUUUGCUUUUGCUUUUGUCUGUUUGUAGUUAUCAAAUACGCUUAUAUGUUCUUUAAAAAUGUAUCUCUAUAUAUUGAUUUAUGCGUGCUAAUGUUUCCCAGGAUCUGUCCAGUGCCGUGGAGAAAUUCAAACUCGGUUCUCUGUACCAGGAAGGAAACAAACGGGUCUUACCUAUUUCCGUGCAGAUGAAAUCCCAAUCUAGGCUUUGGGCAUAAGGAGAAAGCGUACACGGUGCUACUGACACGGAUGAAGAGAUUAGUGGUUGAGGCAAGAGACAGUGUUGUGUCCUAUAUAGUUGCUUAGUGCAAGCUGCAGAAAGAAAAAAAGAAAUGAUAUCCUAUGGUGUGAAGAAGAUAGUGAGAGGUCCGGACCUUUGUUUGCUUACUAAGAUUAAGUAGCAGUCACAUACUUCGUCAAACUGUCCAACAACUCAUUCAUCACCAACUUCAAUUUGAGAGAGUAGCAUUUCAUAACCACGUUUGCAGCUUGCAAAGAGAGGAAGCGAAGAUAGCAGUUUGGAACAAAAUGCACAAGGUUUGGGACACUUGUGAGGAUGAAAGUAGAACCUGCCAUUAGAAAACUCGGUCCUCCUUCACUUAUAUGAAAACUCCCAUAAACCAAUCAAACCAUGAUGAUUGUACUGUUUUUUUCUUUUGCUUGAAUCACAUGUGAAGCUGGAGAAGAAGAAAUGACCAUUACUGGAUAAGAUCUUUUACAAGCUUCAAACAACCAAGUCGAGAGGUCAGGUGGAGUUCAGUAUUCAGUGAUCAUCAACGAGAACAAAAGUUUUGACUAUAGAUCCCUGCAAUAAAACAGUAGCACAAUAUAUAUAUACCAAUAGCUACAACUCAAAAAGUUGAGAAAUGAGAUUCAUGACAUAGUGAUUGGUGUCACGGAAGUUAUUGAGAAACCAGAAUUUAACUCUCA